This is a non-coding RNA of Zootoca vivipara (common lizard), 337 nucleotides long. The record is from RefSeq and is a predicted model, not a curated record. Lineage: Eukaryota; Metazoa; Chordata; Lepidosauria; Squamata; Lacertidae.
GCCUGCCCUCCCACUGUUGGCAGAAGUGGCACCUGGAGAUUGGUGUUCAGCUGCAGCAGCGACCUUGCAGGGAUCGCCCUCAAAGGAGGUGAGAGAUGCGGGGAGCCUCCCUUCUCAUCGGGGUGGAAAGCGAAUUCAGCAUUUUUUUUCCAGGCCGAGGUUCAUCUUAUUUCAACAUUCUCGGAGCCUCCCUCAGAGUGGAGACCUGGAGAAGGGCCUCAGAAGAAGAUCUAAGGGUCUGGGUAGGUUCAUAUCAGGAGAGACAUUCCAGAACAUAUUGGGGUCCUGAGCUGCGUCAGGGUGUAAGAAAUAUGAGUUUGUAAUAAAUCUUUUAUUU